AACGCUAGCUACAGGCUUAACACAUGCAAGUCGAGGGGAGACGACAUCGAAAGCUUGCUUUUGAUGGGCGUCGACCGGCGCACGGGUGAGUAACGCGUAUCCAACCUGCCCACCACUUGGGGAUAACCUUGCGAAAGUAAGACUAAUACCCAAUGACGUCUCUAGAAGACAUCUGAAGGAGAUUAAAGAUUUAUCGGUGAUGGAUGGGGAUGCGUCUGAUUAGCUUGUUGGCGGGGUAACGGCCCACCAAGGCGACGAUCAGUAGGGGUUCUGAGAGGAAGGUCCCCCACAUUGGAACUGAGACACGGUCCAAACUCCUACGGGAGGCAGCAGUGAGGAAUAUUGGUCAAUGGGCGAGAGCCUGAACCAGCCAAGUAGCGUGCAGGAUGACGGCCCUAUGGGUUGUAAACUGCUUUUAUACAGGAAUAAAGUUAGCCACGUGUGGCUAUUUGUAGGUACUGUAUGAAUAAGGACCGGCUAAUUCCGUGCCAGCAGCCGCGGUAAUACGGAAGGUCCAGGCGUUAUCCGGAUUUAUUGGGUUUAAAGGGAGCGUAGGCCGUCUGUUAAGCGUGUUGUGAAAUGUAGAUGCUCAACAUCUGAAUUGCAGCGCGAACUGGCAGACUUGAGUGUGCGCAACGUAGGCGGAAUUCGUGGUGUAGCGGUGAAAUGCUUAGAUAUCACGAAGAACUCCGAUUG
This 696-nucleotide ribosomal RNA is filed under the name uncultured bacterium. Its description in RNAcentral is "bacterial SSU rRNA". It matches the Rfam family "Bacterial small subunit ribosomal RNA", at positions 32 to 715 of the family's 1533-position model. The record is from RNAcentral.